GACGAGGGGUCCUAGCGUUGUUCGGAAUCAUUGGGCGUAAAGCGUGUGUAGGUGGCUAUUCAAGUCAGCUGUGAAAGCCCCGGGCUCAACCUGGGAAUUGCAUUUGAGACUGCGUAGCUAGGGUGCGGAAGAGGGAAGCGGAAUUUCCGGUGUAGCGGUGAAAUGCGUAGAUAUCGGAAGGAACACCAGUGGCGAAAGCGGCUUCCUGGUCCAGCACCGACGUUCAGGCACGAAAGCGUGGGGAGCAAACAGG
This 253-nucleotide ribosomal RNA is filed under the name uncultured bacterium. Its description in RNAcentral is "partial 16S ribosomal RNA". It matches the Rfam family "Bacterial small subunit ribosomal RNA", at positions 524 to 776 of the family's 1533-position model. The record is from RNAcentral.